GGCUCUGUGGUCAAGGGGUAUGAUACUCGCUUUGGGUGCGAGAGGUCCCGGGUUCAAAUCCCGGUCGAGCUA
Molecule: transfer RNA, 72 nt
Filed under: Araneus ventricosus
Lineage: Eukaryota; Metazoa; Arthropoda; Arachnida; Araneae; Araneidae
Rfam family: tRNA
About the family: Transfer RNA (tRNA) molecules are approximately 80 nucleotides in length. Their secondary structure includes four short double-helical elements and three loops (D, anti-codon, and T loops). Further hydrogen bonds mediate the characteristic L-shaped molecular structure. tRNAs have two regions of fundamental functional importance: the anti-codon, which is responsible for specific mRNA codon recognition, and the 3' end, to which the tRNAs corresponding amino acid is attached (by aminoacyl-tRNA synthetases). tRNAs cope with the degeneracy of the genetic code in two manners: having more than one tRNA (with a specific anti-codon) for a particular amino acid; and 'wobble' base-pairing, i.e. permitting non-standard base-pairing at the 3rd anti-codon position.
Source: Rfam by way of RNAcentral